GAGCGGAUGAGUGGAGCUUGUGCCAUGAUUCCGCGGCGGACGGAUGAGUAAUGCCUAGGAAUCUGCCUGGUAGUGGGGGACAACGUUUCGAAAGGAACGCGAAUACCGCAUACGUCCUACGGGAGAAAGUGGGGGAUCUUCGGACCUCACGCUAUCUGAUGAGCCUAGUUCGGAUUAGCUAGUUGGUGAGGUAAAGGGUCACCAAGGCGACGAUCCGUAACUGGUCUGAGAGGAUGAUCAGUCACACUGGAACUGAGACACGGUCCAGACUCCUACGGGAGGCAGCAGUGGGGAAUAUUGGACAAUGAGCGAAAGCAUGAUCCAGCCAUGCCGCGUGUGUGAAGAAGGUCUUCGGAUUGUAAAGCACUUUAAGUUGGGAGGAAGGGCAGUAAGUUAAUACCUUGCUGUUUUGACGUUACCAACAGAAUAAGCACCGUCUAACUUCGCGCCAGCAGCCGCGGUAAUACGAAGGGUGCAAGCGUUAAUCGGAAUUACUGGGCGUAAAGCGCGCGUAGGUGGUUCGUUAAGUUGAAUGUGAAAGCCCCGGGGUCAACCUGUGAACUGCAUCCAC
RNAcentral lists this ribosomal RNA (571 nucleotides) under Stutzerimonas stutzeri. RNAcentral's name for it is "bacterial SSU rRNA". It matches the Rfam family "Bacterial small subunit ribosomal RNA", at positions 64 to 630 of the family's 1533-position model. The record is from RNAcentral. Lineage: Bacteria; Pseudomonadati; Pseudomonadota; Gammaproteobacteria; Pseudomonadales; Pseudomonadaceae.